This 491-nucleotide ribosomal RNA is filed under the name uncultured bacterium. Its description in RNAcentral is "partial 16S ribosomal RNA". It matches the Rfam family "Bacterial small subunit ribosomal RNA", at positions 29 to 507 of the family's 1533-position model. The record is from RNAcentral.
GUGAACGCUGGCGGUAGGCCUAACACAUGCAAGUCGAACGGCAGCACAGUAAGAGCUUGCUCUUACGGGUGGCGAGUGGCGGACGGGUGAGGAAUACAUCGGAAUCUACUUUUUCGUGGGGGAUAACGUAGGGAAACUUACGCUAAUACCGCAUACGACCUACGGGUGAAAGCAGGGGAUCUUCGGACCUUGCGCGAUUGAAUGAGCCGAUGUCGGAUUAGCUAGUUGGCGGGGUAAAGGCCCACCAAGGCGACGAUCCGUAGCUGGUCUGAGAGGAUGAUCAGCCACACUGGAACUGACACACGGUCCAGACUCCUACGGGAGGCAGCAGUGGGGAAUAUUGGACAAUGGGCGCAAGCCUGAUCCAGCCAUACCGCGUGGGUGAAGAAGGCCUUCGGGUUGUAAAGCCCUUUUGUUGGGAAAGAAAAGCAGCAGGUUAAUACCCCGCUGUUCUGACGGUACCCAAAGAAUAAGCACCGGCUAACUUCGUG